ACGGGCACUGCGAACGCGCUCUCGAAGUCAACACGGGCACUAACCACGAAAGAGAAGCACUUAAAAGGAAACGCUUACACUAUAUUGGAUCCAGAUGCGAUACUUCUGGGAUAUCUUGGAGAGAGUGUACCCUCCGCGCGCCAGCAUUCAGGAACAACUCGCUGACCUUCGGUUACCCGCUCAAGUAGCAACUAGCGACGCACUCCGCAGCGUGGCGCGCGAAUACAUCGACGCCGUGAUGUACUACCUUCGCUGCGACUUGAUGCUGCACAGAGUCGGGACAACGGAGCUUCGCAGCAUGGCAGGCCAUACUGGAUGGCUGCUGCAUGACGGCACCUUCCGGGGCCCUUGGUCACAUAGUCCACGACGGCGCGCCCUGGCCGAUUGAGGUACCGCACUGGGUAAUCGGCCCACCGUUGCCGCAACGCUAUGACGUCGCCGCCGUCAUGCUGAUUGAAGACUGCGAGUUCGAGGCCUUUUACGAGAACAGCUACACGCGAUCUAUCGCGGGCAAGGUGUCCGGAAUAGUAGAGGAGGUGAGAGUGAGCAUCAUCAUUGGCCACCCAGAGGGGCGGAAUGGCAGGCCUCGGCUGAAGUUCAUCGAAACAACGCAUAUGACCUGCCCGAAGACUGACCACCACAGCCUUGGCCCUCGCACCCAAAAGGUUUUCGAAAAAGCCAUUGGACAAGGUAUACGCAGGUGCGUCGACCAAGCAAUGUCGUUCAGCGUGGCUCCAGUGCUUGACAAUUUGCUCAGCCGCGUUGCUUACCCGGACUUCACUAAUGUGCGCCAAUAGAAGGAAUGCAUCACCCCCGCAAGAGUGCCUGUAAAAUCAGUCUCGCUUCGCGAGAUCUCGUGAGACUAACGAGGAAACUGCACUGUUUUUAAGCGACAAAGCGUGAAAGAUUGCGGUCACAAGACUCCUUUCACGAGCACAUUGUACUGUAUGCCUGUAAAAAUAAAAAGUGAAAUGACUGUGCCCGCAAAGAG
Molecule: long non-coding RNA, 991 nt
Organism: Rhipicephalus sanguineus (brown dog tick)
Lineage: Eukaryota; Metazoa; Arthropoda; Arachnida; Ixodida; Ixodidae
Exons: 3
Source: RefSeq, a predicted model, not a curated record